Molecule: ribosomal RNA, 254 nt
Filed under: uncultured bacterium
Lineage: Bacteria
Description: partial 16S ribosomal RNA
Rfam family: Bacterial small subunit ribosomal RNA
Source: RNAcentral
UACGUAGGGUGCGAGCGUUGUCCGGAAUUAUUGGGCGUAAAGGGCUCGUAGGCGGUUUGUCGCGUCGGGAGUGAAAACCUUGGGCUUAACUCAGGGCUUGCUUUCGAUACGGGCAGACUAGAGGUAUGCAGGGGGAGAACGGAAUUCCUGGUGUAGCGGUGAAAUGCGCAGAUAUCAGGAGGAACACCGAUGGCGAAGGCAGGUCUCUGGGCAUUAACUGACGCUGAGGAGCGAAAGCAUGGGGAGCGAACAGG